This 154-nucleotide microRNA precursor is filed under the name Amborella trichopoda. Its description in RNAcentral is "MIR8565 microRNA precursor family". It matches the Rfam family "MIR8565 microRNA precursor family". Lineage: Eukaryota; Viridiplantae; Streptophyta; Magnoliopsida; Amborellales; Amborellaceae. The record is from Rfam by way of RNAcentral.
CCCACACCCAUGUGUGUAGGACCUCAAAUGAUCACCAUUAAAUUUGGCAUAGAUCUUUAGAAAAGUUAUUAUAUGGGUGUGGGACUUAACUUUUCUAGAGAUUUGUGCCAAAUUUAAUAGUGAUCCUUUGGGGUUCUAUUCACGUGGGUGUGGG